This 497-nucleotide ribosomal RNA is filed under the name uncultured bacterium. RNAcentral's name for it is "partial 16S ribosomal RNA". It matches the Rfam family "Bacterial small subunit ribosomal RNA", at positions 28 to 507 of the family's 1533-position model. The record is from RNAcentral.
GAUGAACGCUGGCGGCGUGCCUAAUACAUGCAAGUCGAGCGAACAGACGAGGAGCUUGCUCCGCUGACGUUAGCGGCGGACGUGUGAGUAACACGUGGAUCACCUACCUAUAAGACUGAGAUAACUUCGGGAAACCGGAUCUAAUACCGGAUAAUAUAUUGAACCGCAUGGUUCAAUAGUGAAAUACGGUUUUGCUGGCACGUAUAGAUGGAUCCGCGCCGCAUGAGCUAGUUGGUACGGUAACGGCUUACCAAGGCAACGAUGCGUAGCCGAAGUGAGAGGGGGAUCGGCCACACUGGAAGUGAGCCGCGGUCCAGACUACUACGGGAGGCAGCAGUAGGGAAUCGGACGCAGUGGGCGAAAGCCUGGCGGAGCAACGCCGCGUGAGUGAUGAAGGUCUUCGGAUCGUAAAGCUGUGUUAUGAGGGAAGAACAAAUGUGUAAGUAACUAUGCACGUCUUGACGGUAACUGAUCAAAAAGCACCGGCUAACUACGUG